This 466-nucleotide ribosomal RNA is filed under the name uncultured bacterium. RNAcentral describes it as "partial 16S ribosomal RNA". It matches the Rfam family "Bacterial small subunit ribosomal RNA", at positions 28 to 523 of the family's 1533-position model. The record is from RNAcentral.
GAUGAACGCUGGCGGCGUGCCUAACACAUGCAAGUCGAGCGAACCCUUUGGGGUGAGCGGCGGACGGGUGAGUAACGCGUGGGUAACCUGCCCUAUACACACGGAUAACGUACCGAAAGGUACGCUAAUACGGGAUAAAGUUGUUGGAUGGCAUCUUCUAACAAUCAAAGCUCCGGCGGUAUAGGAUGGACCCGCGUCUGAUUAGCUAGUUGGUGAGGUAAUGGCUCACCAAGGCGACGAUCAGUAGCCGACCUGAGAGGGUGAUCGGCCACACUGGAACUGAGACACGGUCCAGACUCCUACGGGAGGCAGCAGUGGGGAAUAUUGCACAAUGGGCGAAAGCCUGAUGCAGCAACGCCGCGUGAGCGAUGAAGGUCUUCGGAUCGUAAAGCUCUGUCCUCAAGGAAGAUAAUGACGGUACUUGAGGAGGAAGCCCCGGCUAACUACGUGCCAGCAGCCGCGGUAA